AUGAACGCAUCUGUUAAAUGUAUAAACUAAAGAGUUGAAACAAAUCCCAUGUUUGGCCAAUGUAGAAUCUAAGUAGAAGGAAGACAUAGAACUAAAUUUUUCAUCCUUUUAUAACUACAAAUGGAUUUAAAUAUAAUAUUAAGUCUUCUGUUCACAUAGUACAUGGUUCAAAUGUACAUAGAAAGUACAUAUAAAUAUCUGGAGGAAGAUUAUUCCAGGUGGAGAGAACUGCAAGACCUUGUGGCAAGAAGGGGCUCAGCAUGACUGACAAAUAGCAAGAAGGAUGUCAGCUGUGGCACUGGCUACCUUGACACAUCUUCAUCUGAAGAAAAAAUACAAAGAAGGCCUGCCAUGAUGACAAUUUACUUCAUGAAGAGAACGGGUUCUGAAACGGUCAUUCUUUUCCAUUUAAACAAUGUUACCAUCUCCCAAAGAACAGCUUUGGGGUAGGAAAGAACAGUAUUUCAUUUCAAGCUGGACUACUCAUCUACCAAAAAACCAUUCUGACCAAAGAAACAGAUGCAGAAUUACAGUCACAGCUGCAUUCUGCACAGAACAAGUUGGAUAAUGGGUCAUCCAGGCUGGAAUGCAAGUGACACAAUCACAGCU
This 609-nucleotide long non-coding RNA is filed under the name Homo sapiens (human). RNAcentral describes it as "HSALNT0292855". Lineage: Eukaryota; Metazoa; Chordata; Mammalia; Primates; Hominidae. The record is from RNAcentral.